This 446-nucleotide ribosomal RNA is filed under the name uncultured bacterium. Its description in RNAcentral is "bacterial SSU rRNA". It matches the Rfam family "Bacterial small subunit ribosomal RNA", at positions 34 to 498 of the family's 1533-position model. The record is from RNAcentral.
CGCUGGCGGCGUGCUUAACACAUGCAAGUCGAGCGGAAAGGCCCUUCGGGGUACUCGAGCGGCGAACGGGUGAGUAACACGUGAGCAACCUGCCCUUGGCUUUGGGAUAACCCUCGGAAACGGGGGCUAAUACCGGAUAUGACCUGUGACCGCAUGGUUGUGGGUGGAAAGUUUUUCGGCCAGGGAUGGGCUCGCGGCCUAUCAGCUUGUUGGUGGGGUGAUGGCCUACCAAGGCGACGACGGGUAGCCGGCCUGAGAGGGCGACCGGCCACACUGGGACUGAGACACGGCCCAGACUCCUACGGGAGGCAGCAGUGGGGAAUAUUGCACAAUGGGCGAAAGCCUGAUGCAGCGACGCCGCGUGAGGGAUGACGGCCUUCGGGUUGUAAACCUCUUUCAGCAGGGACGAAGCGCAAGUGACGGUACCUGCAGAAGAAGCGCCGGCC